UUGACCUCGGAUCAGGUAGGGAUACCCGCUGAACUUAAGCAUAUCAAAAA
RNAcentral lists this ribosomal RNA (50 nucleotides) under Sclerotinia nivalis. Its description in RNAcentral is "partial 28S ribosomal RNA". Lineage: Eukaryota; Fungi; Ascomycota; Leotiomycetes; Helotiales; Sclerotiniaceae. The record is from RNAcentral.